AGCACGCCGCGUGAGUGAAGAAGGUUUUCGGAUCGUAAAGCUCUGUUGUUAGAGAAGAACGUGUGUGAGAGUGGAAAGUUCACACUGUGACGGUAACUUACCAGAAAGGGACGGCUAACUACGUGCCACCAGCCGCGGUAAUACGUAGGUCCCGAGCGUUGUCCGGAUUUAUUGGGCGUAAAGCGAGCGCAGGCGGUUUAUUAAUUCUGAGGUAAAAGGCAGUGGCUUAACCAUUGUUUGCUUUGGAAACUGGUAGACUUGAGUGCAGAAGAGGAGAGUGGAAUUCCAUGUGUAGCGGUGAAAUGCGUAGAUAUAUGGAGGAA
This 323-nucleotide ribosomal RNA is filed under the name uncultured bacterium. RNAcentral describes it as "bacterial SSU rRNA". It matches the Rfam family "Bacterial small subunit ribosomal RNA", at positions 390 to 706 of the family's 1533-position model. The record is from RNAcentral.